This 131-nucleotide microRNA precursor is filed under the name Hordeum vulgare. RNAcentral describes it as "microRNA MIR1122". It matches the Rfam family "MIR1120/MIR1122 microRNA precursor family". The record is from RNAcentral. Lineage: Eukaryota; Viridiplantae; Streptophyta; Magnoliopsida; Poales; Poaceae.
UAAAUACCCCCUCCGUCUCAAAAUUCUUAUCUUAAAUUUAUCUAGAUAUGAUCUAGUCACGUUUUAAUAUAUAGAUACAUUCAUUUCUAAACAAACCUAAGACAAAAUUUUUGAAACGGAGGAAGUAUAAG